Molecule: long non-coding RNA, 416 nt
Organism: Trichoplusia ni (cabbage looper)
Lineage: Eukaryota; Metazoa; Arthropoda; Insecta; Lepidoptera; Noctuidae
Exons: 2
Source: RefSeq, a predicted model, not a curated record
AAUGUAUCUAUUGUUGUUUUGUUUUCUCACUUUCUUUAAUAAACAAUGUGUGAAAGCCAAAAAACAGUGUUCUAUACUUAGAAUUAUGUACGGACAUUUUUUGAGAGGUGCGUGUAAAAGAAGUAAGUUUGCUGAGAACACCGCUUCAUCAGCGCAACACGCCGCGACCAGCACGAGAAACAGCACAAUAUUCAGGAGACCCAUAGUGACGGACUGCGCAGACUGACCGAGGGACCCUCGCUGCUAUUAAAGUAUAAAUUAUCGGUGACACCGCGACCCGGAAUGUGUUACCGAUAAACAGCGAAAUGGAACAUUGUUUAUUGUGACCAGAGCCCGGGGUGAGUGCGUGAGAUCGGUUAUUGUUGUAAUUAGCUAAUAUUCCUUGUUAUUAGUGUAAACAUGCUUUAUUAAUUAGA